This 27-nucleotide small RNA is filed under the name Bombyx mori (domestic silkworm). RNAcentral describes it as "ovarian small RNA-15503". Lineage: Eukaryota; Metazoa; Arthropoda; Insecta; Lepidoptera; Bombycidae. The record is from RNAcentral.
GACCGUUCUUUUACACAAUAAAGCGAU